GAGUGGUGGGUUGCGAUAAAAUAGGGAAGACUGGAUAAGAAACGGUUAGAGGUAGUUACAUGCGGCAACCCAAUUCCCGCUAUCACCUCUAUUGCAGGUGUCUAAUAUAUGACUCUAUGCCUUACAACUGAUAUCUGUUUGGAUCUUAGGACGUCUAUUACAACUGCCAAUGUUGGAUGGCAGUCGAGGAUGGAUCGUUUUUGGCUAACUUAUGCCACAGUUUUGGUGUAAAAAUUAUAUAAAAAGCUAAUAAAAUUUUAGCUAAAAUUAAAACAUCAAUAUUUUAAUAUUUUAGAUUCAAGUAUAGUUUCUUUUUCUAAAUUUAUUCAGGUUGUGUGUGUGUGUGUGUUUUUUUAAUUUAAAGGUAACAUAAAAAUAUCAAUUAUCAGAGGUAUAUUAAUUUGUUCUGCUACCAAUUGACACAAAAUGGGUCAAGCAGUAUAGAUAUUACUAAAUUUGAAGGAAAAAUUGAUGCCUACAUCUAAAUAAAUAUUUACUUCUAAAUUCAAAUGCCCAAAAAAAAACAUCAAAGACAAAAAAAGUUGAAAGUGUAGUAGAGCCGUAAAGAUUGGAUAGUGAGGAAGAGGAGGAUUUGUUAGGUAGCUGCCCAACAUAUGUUUCAAGAUUUAUUAUUCAGCUAUAUCAGGAUACGAAUUGCCAACUUCAUAAAGGAAUAAGACAAUGUUUAAAUACGUUUUAUUUAAUUGCUAAACCAAAGGGAUUGCGUGGCCUAAUGGAUAAGGCGCUCGCCUCCGGAGCGGGAGAUUGUGGGUUCGAGUCCCAUCGCGAUCGUUUUUGCAUUUAUUUUACAAAUUUGAAAUUCAGUCCCUCAAUUAUUAUUAUUAUUAUUAUUAUUAUUAUUAUUGUGAAUAUACCUGUUAAAACAAGAAAAAUAUAUCUUAAAUCUCAACUCUCCUUUCAAACCAGUGAAGAACCCCAAAAACCAUUUGUCUAAAUAUGUGAAUUUAAUAAAACCAAUUUUCUAAAUAAAUUGUUUACAAAUAUAUGAAUUUAAACUAUUCUUUUACAUAUUAUUUUUUUGUAUGAGAUUAAUGUUAAGGGUAUAUAAUUUUUGUUUGAAGUUGAUAAGGGUUUGUAAUUGAUAAAAUUUGUACUGCUAAGUGCUAACUUGAUAUUUUCUUUAUUCAAUUAAAAAAAUAAAUCUAUGAUUAUUGUAAUUUCUAGAAGUAAUCACAAAUUGUCACACAAGUGAAGUCCUUUUUUCUUUCUAUUUUUUAAAAAAUAUGUAUUCAUUGACUUGCAAGUAAUCAAGAAAAUUACCAACUUCAAUUUAUACAGUUAUUCACAGAGGCAAGACUUUGGGAUUUUUUCCUUAAUAAAAAAAAUUACAUCAUCCAAUUUAAUGGAAAUCGUUUGAUGAUGUUAUGCAUUAGAUCUCGAUUUUUAAAUAAUAAAAAAUAGAAAGCUAAAUUCUUGAAAUUAAAAGUUGAAGGAUUAAAAUUUAAAUAUGCUAAAAGUACACAUUUAUGCAGCUACCUGAUACAAAGAUUUGUCGCAAAGAAAAGAAAAAUAGUAAAAACAUAGUGGUUACAAAGCAUGAGUCAAACUUCUAGCAAUUGAAAGUGCCUUAGCAGCAAAAUUAUUUUCACAGCACACAAGCAUUUCAACUACUUGUCCCAUGGUGGGUCUAUCAUCUUUGUCUUCUUGCACAAAUUUCAGGGCUAUGGUUACCAAAAUUAACAUCUCAUCAAUGUCACAUUUUCCGUCCAAUGCAGGGUCUAAUAUGUCUUUGCACCCUGUCCAUGUCUCAGCCUCCGUUGAUCUUUUCAUCUGCUCUUUCACCCAGUUCACCAAUGAUGUCUGGUCUUCUCCCCCUUCACCAUCUUCACUUGAGUGAGCUCCCAUUCCAGGGUUUCUUCCUGUUACCAACACCAACACAACAAUUCCGUAGCUGUAAACAUCCACCUUGGAGGUGAUGGGAUGAUUUGAAACCCACUCCGGUGCCAUGUAACCUCUGGUUCCUCGUAUCCUUGAGAAUCCUGAGUACUUAACAUCACCCCUGUUUAGAAGCCAUGAAAGGCCAAAAUCUGACACUCUGGGUUGGUAACUGGAGUCUAAGAGGAUGUUUUCAGGCUUUAUAUCGCAAUGGAGAACCCACUCUAGACAUUCUUCAUGCAAAUAAGCUAGUCCUUUCGCCGUUCCUAUAGCAAUUUCGAAUCUGUUUCUCCAAUCAAUUGAUUGAAAUGAUAAGCUUUUUGCUAACGAUCCGUGUUCCAUGUACUCGUAAAUCAAAAGCCGGUGCUUUCCUUCCAUACAGUAUCCCCACAUCUCUAUCACAUUCAUUUGAUGAAGCCUUCCUAUGGUGUCCACUUCAACUAAAAACUCAGCUUCCCCUUGGUGAUUGGCAUCGAUGAGUCGCUUGAUUGCGGCAGUUCGACCAUCGGACAACUUGCCUUGGAAUACAACUCCUCCUGCACCUCUCCCUAUCUCUUCUGUGAAACUUUUUGUAACCUUUUUCAGCUCUGCAUAAGUGAACCUUCUGAUGCUUGAUGUAGCUAAAAAGUAGCCUUGCACCGGACCCGAAUUCUGGCGAGUUCUUAUCAAGAGCCACAGCACAAAGAAAAAAAAGCUUAAUACCUCGACGAUUCCGAUAGCUCCUGCAGACCAAAGAGCAAGCUUCAAAGACUCACUUUCAUGGCUUUUUGGAUAUUCUCGACCCAGUUCCUCAAAUUUCGUGGAGCAGUCUAGCUUGUAAUCUUGAUCACUCGCCUUUUUGGAGGAGGAGAGGCUAACCUUUGGCAGUUUCAAGUACAUAUCGCCUUCGAAAUUGUCGGAACGACUCCAUUCAGUAACUGUGCCUUGGGAUAACAGUAUAUGCCAUCCGAACGGUGCACUUCAAAGUGUUUGAAUUGAAACCCUUUGCAGUCACACAUGCUCAAGCACAAGUCCUCACACAUCUUUAUGGUAUAAUUAGGGUACAAACCAUAAUCAUAACCAUAAAAUUCAACAUGGACUGAGUUUCAAAAAACCAAAUUCAUCAGCUUGGUUACAUGGAAGAUCAAAUUUUGGUUCACAUCCAAAGGUCCAAUCUGUAGGAUUCAUCAUCUUAUAUCCUGGAAUGCAAGAACAUUGUCUACCAAGAUUAGGAACAUAACUACAUACACUGUUUGGUCCACAACUUCCAUGAAUCCGGCAUGGUUGCGAGAAGGCUUGCCAUGAUACAACCCAAUUUUCUUCUCCUUUUCGACUAUACAAUCGAAGAUUUCCAUCAAAAUCAAGCUUCAAAAUUCUUUGAAUCAUCGAGCCGAAAUCGGUUGGGAAGAAAUUAAUACCGUCGGCCGAACUAAAAUCGCCAAACGAACUUAGAACCGCGAUUCCACUAGUGUUGUACAUGGAUCUUCCAGCUUCCCAACUCAAUAGCGAGGGGUCUGGCCAAUAAACACUUGAAACCUCUUUGGUAUACAAGGUUAAGUGCGUUGUUAGGAUCAAAAUAAAGAGUAACGAAACCUGAAGAAAAGUUGCUUUUGCUUCUAGACGACACAAGCUUUGUGUUUUUGUUGAGAGGCUGAAGAGGAAGAAGGGUAUCAGUAGGUGAAUCAAAGCUUUGCCAAAUCUUACUACCAUCCGAAUCAUGCAACACGAGAUUCCCACUAUCAUAUAGUUCUAAAUACAAAGACGACGUCAGGUUCGAAACAGCAUCAGCCUUCCAUACAAUUACAUGUCCGGUAUCUUUUAGAACAAGAUUACCGGAUCUCAAAAGGGUGAGCUUUGAGUGUUUGCCAUUGACAGGGAAGUCACGGUUCGCCAUCCAUACAAUGGUGCAAUUGUGAGUGGUGCAAGGAGGUUUGUUGAACCAUAUUGCGAAGCAAUAAGCAUUGUUUCCAACAGGGUGAAAACCGGCACUGAAAGUGCCAUCGGCUGAAGUCAAAACAUCAUUUGCUUGCUCUACUGAGAUCGAUGAACCCUCUUUUAAACCACGAGAAAGUGAAGAUACAGCAGAUGAACAGCUUAAAAGCAAAGAAAAGAUCAAGAUAUGUGGUGAGGCCAUGAAUGAAAUUUUUGGAAGAUUUGAGUUUUCAAGUUGAGCAGAAAUUAGGGUAAAAUGUGAAUAAAACUGUAUAUGGUGUAGAGUAAGUAAGGACUAAGUUCAACCGUUGCUUCCAUUAAUGCACGUUGCUUUCUUAAACCUAAACCCGACUUUUUUUGACAUUUCGUGGUAUUUAAGAUUUAGGGUCAAUCAACAUUUGAUUUUAAUAUAAUUUUUUUGUCACUAUACUACAAACUCGUCGAUUAUAUUAUAUAAUUUUUUUAUUAAUUUGUUAAUAUUUAUAGGGCAGUUGAUUCACUUACAUGGUGAUUUUAACAAUUCGUUGAAUUUAUUAAGAAUUUGUAAUGGUCAUACAUAAAAAAUUUUAAACCGAUCUGAGAUCUCUAUCAUAUUGAUUUAAAAUAUUGUCUAUAUUAAUAAAAAUUUAAUGGUUAAAAGUUUUUUUUACAUAGAUGAAUAGUUAGAAAUUUUAAUUUUAUACCAAACUUGAUAUGCAUGAUCUAUAUGAACAAAGCAUCAAAUAGGACAGAUAAAUUAUUAAAGUAUUGGUAUAAAAAGUUCCGAAAAGGUAUAAAUCACUUAAGUUUUAUAUAGGCGUAAAUGAACCAUCAUCGGUGUAAGUGAAUCCUCCCAUAUUGAUAAAGUUUAAGUACAAUCAACCCUUCCUAUAGUAGCCACCUGCUAUAACAACAUUUCACUAUAACAGUCAAGUUUCUAGAAGAAGCGAUUUUUGAUGUUUUAUUUUAACCCUGUAUAAUAGCUUUUCACUUAUAACAACAUACAUAUUAUGAAGUAUCCUCUUUAUUAAAUUAAUUUAAAUAUAAUAAAGCAUAAUUACAUAAAAGGUGUAAUACAAAAGUAUAAAAUAAUGUUAAGUUACAAAGACAUUUGUUAUGAAUAUUAUUUUAAUUGUUGAAGGAUAUUAAUAUUAAAAAUAUAAAACACUUCGUAUAUAAAUAAUUGAUAAAUAUUAAAGAUAGUAAUUGCUUUAAAAAUAACAUAAAAAUAAAAAAAUCUAUUACAAAUACUUAAUAUGUUUUAAGUAAACUCUUUAAAGCUAACUUAAUUGUAUUCUUCUCCAUGCCUUGCUCUUAAUUUCCAUCUAUUUGUUGAUCAGUGGCUUAAUUAGGUGGGAUUCACAUGUACCCGACCUCCUUAAAAUGACAUUUAAAUUUUAUGCAAAUUUCUUUUUCGAGCUCCACUCGAUGUGAAAGAUGUAAAUUUUCAAUUUAUACAUAUAUAGUUGAAAUAAUCUAUUUUCCGCAUUGACUUUUUUACUUUUAUUGUUGCCUAAACUACUCUCCAUUUUGCUAGAAUCGAACCAACAUCCAACGAAAAAACUUAAGUUUAUUAAUGUUAAUUAGUAUAAAAAAGAACAGUUCACGUAGUAGUAAUAAUAUUGAUGGACUAUUAACAGGAUAUAAGUUGCGGAUGGAUGGAUAGAAAUCAUGGGAAUAUGCUUAGUUUAAUUGGUAUGGAUGGUGUUGCUAAUGUAGGAGGAUGUGUGUUCGAGUGCGCUGAAAUACAUUAUCUUCUUAUUUAUGAGUUGGAGUGACAGUUUGAAGACACUGCAAUGGAUAUAAUAUGGUGUUAACAACUCUUAAAAAUUACAUGGUCAUUUUAAUCAAAAUAAAGAUUAAAUAUCAAAUGAGCAUAGUAGAGAAAUCAAAACUACAAUUUUACCAUUAUCUUAUAAUAACUAAAAAAGAGGAAAAAUCAUGUCAUUAGCUAGUCUAAAUAAUUAACAUUUAACAAUUUUAGUAGCUAAUGUGGAUUUUUUAAAAAGUCUUAUUUCAACUCAUCAUGCCAAUUUUUUUUUUGUAGAAUAAUAUUUUUUUUCAAAAAGUUCUCAUCAAAAAAUUUAUCAACAAUAUUAAGUAUUUGGACUAAACAUUAUAAAAAAAAAUAGAGACCAAGUUAUUGUAGAAAUUCAAGUAUAAAGAUUAAAUCUUAAUUUUAGGCAUAGUAGAGGGACCAAAAGUGAUAUUUGACCAAUUUUCUAUCAAAUGCAAAAAAAAUAGAAAGACUGAACACGUGUCAAGUAGAGGGACCAAAUGUGAUAUUUGACCAAUUUUAUAUAAACUGCAAAAAAAAAAAAAAUAUAUAUAUAUAUAUAUAUAUUGAACACAUGCCGAGUAAGAAAAUAAAGAUUAAAUCUUAAUUUUAGGCUUAGGGAUAAAAAGUGAUAUUUGACCAUUUUCUAUUAAAUGUAAAACAAUAGCAUGUGUCAAGUAAGGGAGCAAAAGUGAUAUUUAACCAAUUUUCAAUACAAUGAAAAAAAAAAGAAAAAAAGAAGAAGAAAAAUACCGAGUGACUCGUGAAACCCAUAGAGAAGCCCAUCUACUUGAAGAUGUACAUCACUUGUUGCAUUUACUUGUCUCUGUUACCCAGUUUGCAUAGCCAUUUCUCCCCCAAAGUCCAAUGCACAACCCACUUCUCUCUUAGGUUAUAACCCUACUGAUAACUCAAUAGGGUUCAUAUUAAUUUGUUGCCCCUCUAGCAUUUCUAAGGGGGUCUUCGUAGCACUACUUCAAUCUACCGAGUCAAUAUUUUUUCUCUUAUGAACAUUCUCGACUAAAUGGAUUGCCAACAGUACCUUCAUUUCGCCCUCAUGUCUUGUCUCGCCGGCACAACGAAUUGUUAUUGUCAAGUAUCCAAGAUGCAUAUACAAUCGGCAAAAGGAACCAAAAUAGCAUUAAUCUUGUCAAGGAAAUUUAAGCCAAGAACAAAGUCAUAAUCAUCCAAGUGAAUUACCUCAAAGUCUUCCCUGCCUUUCCAUUAACCAAUCUAUAGCUCAACUCCUUGUGUUACUUACAUCCACAGUUGAGACCUCUUUAGAAUUAAAAAUCUUGAUCUUCUUAGUUGAUUCACGAACCAAGACACCAAGUUUACACAUGACAUUUUCUGAUAUGAACAAGUUUGAAGCCCCCGUAUUAAUAAGAGCACUCUUCCUUUGAUCUGCGAUGUUGAUGUCUAUAUACAUCAACCUUUUCUACUUGUUGUCCCUAUUUGUUUUCGUAGAAUUGAGUAUCAUUGACCCAAGCUUCAGUACCUUACUCUCAAUAGGCUCCACUUAUUCUUUAUUGGUUGUGGAUAUCUUGGAUCGCUCUAGAUAGUUCUACAUCCUAUGCGGACCAUAACACAAGAAACACUCCAUUGGAUUUUUCUCAUUCUCUUGGCAUCGACAAAAUGCACAAUCAAACCAAGUCUCACCGAUUCUCUAUCUUGCUCAUCAUCCCUUCGAUAGCAGAUAACAUGGAUUAUUUCGAAUAGCCCUUCACAAUAUACGAACCUUCGCAAAGAAAACACCUCAUUGGCCCCUUUGGUUUUUUGUUGGGCUUCCACUUUCCAUUUGCUCGUUUCCCAUUACCACCAUUGUCGAUAUUAUUCUCGACUGGUCCUUCUUCAUCUCUACCACCAUUGCCCUCUUCUCUGGUCUCGAAAGACUCGAACUUGUUUCUCCUUGAAAUAAACUCAAAUAAGGACUCCACUACAGUCAUAACUUUGGAAAGUUCUUAGACCCCUCGAUGUUGCAAAUCUUGCUUCACCCAUGGCUUUAGCCCAUCUAUGAAGGAGAAAAAUGCCUCAUUCUCACCCAAAUCAGAAAUUUGUAGCAUGAGUUCACUAAACUCUCGCACAUACUCCCUCACUUUGCGCUGUUGUGUAAGCUGACGCAACUUAACCCGAGCCUCAUCCUUGGCAUAAUCUAGGUAAAAUUGUACCUUGAAUUCUCUGUGGAACUCCUCCCAAGUCCUAAUAGUGGUACCACCUCACCUCUCAUCUAUGGACCUAUGAUGACACCAUAACAAAGUAGCAUCAGUAAAAUACAUGGCAACAAUAUUUACCUUGGUAGCAUCGUCCAUGAUGUCUUUAGCAUAGAAGUAUUACUCCAUUCCCCAGAAAGAAGUUGUCUACAUCCUUUGUGAACAUCAUCCCAUUGAACUAUUUCAACUUCGAGACAUCUUCGUCCCAUUGAACUAUUUCAACUUUGAGAUAUCUACUUUAGGCAUAGGUGCCGCAACCAACACUCUAUUUCACAAAGCAACUUUGCAGAUAUUGAGCUCCCCCUUGAGCUCCUCAAUAUGUUCCUUCAAAGUCGACACUAUAGCAUCGGGAGCAUCCUCUUUUUCAAUCAGCUCACCUAUAGCGAUGUUGAGGACCCCUUGCAUCACAUCCAUAUUUUCACUUAGGGCCUCAACCAUUUGGUCCUUAAGCUGAUUGUCCCUCAAUUCCAACUCUCUGGUACGCCCAUCAACUUCCUUGAGGGUCUCCUUCACAUCACCUAUGGGACCCUCAAGUUUGGCCACCCUGCCAUCUAAAGCUGACAGCAUAUCCUUUGACCGACUUGCUUUCUUGGCCCUCCCACUAGUCUUCAUUGCCUCAACUUGCUCGUCUACUUCUUUUAACAUCUCAACUGACACCUUCAAAACCUGAACUCUGAUACCAAUUGUCAUGGGGCUAGAAUUUUAGUCUAGAAAAACAUGUGACCUUAGGCGGUUACUUUGCUUCAAAUCUGCCUAAGUCAACCUAAAACUCAGAGUGUGAAUUCUUCCAGAAAUACUUUUAGGCACUGAGAAAUAUAAUGAAAGCAAUUUGAAAUGAAAAGAGCAACGAGAAAACUGAAAAGCCAUAGGAAAGUGAUGCACACAAGAUAUUUGAGUAAAUGCUCUCAAUAUAUUCUUUAACUUAGAAAAAUUAGAAAAAUGAAGUACAAUAGGAUGAUACAAAUGAAGGGAGAGGCCUCUAUUUUUAGUUGAGCUCCCCCAAAACUAACGUUAAGUUACAUCGACGGUCAAAAUUAGAGUUCAUCUAUAAUUGAGAGUCUUGAGGGAAUUAAAUUCUAUACAAUCUUAUCCUUUUAGGAUUUACACUAUUUACCCUGGGAACUCUAGUUUUACUAGAAUGUUUCACUAAGCCACCAAGAUUUCAAGUAUAUGGGUUUCUCCAUGGGUUUCACAGGUCAGACCAGUUCAAGUGGGUCAAAUGAACUCCAUUUAAUAAGUCUAAAAACUACAUUGACCAUGCACUAAAUAUUUUCCCAUACGAGUGUAAUAUAUGUAUGGUGUAAUUACCUAUAGAACUCUUUAAAAAUAAAAUAAAUUAUUACCAUCAAAACAAAACAAAGCCAAGCCAUAGUAAUUGAUAAAAGCUUUCACUAUGAAAUUGAUCCCCAUAAACUAACCUCAAUUUUAGCAGCAAUCCCAAUCUUGAGACGUCUCAUGCAAGUGAAAAUUUCAAUUUAUUCCAAAAGAAUCAAAUUGUAUGAAAAAUUUAAAAACAAAAACUACAAAUAUUUACCCUUUAAUUGAUGAAAGAUAGAAACAAAAAUUGAAAAAGAGAAGCGAAAAGCAAAAUAAAAGUUUUAGAUGAAACUGGGAAGUCAAAGGGGAAAAGUUUUAAUAAAAGGUGUUAAUGUAAGAUAAUUAGUUUUACAUAAAAACAUAUAGUUAAUAAAUCAAGCAAACAAUUCAUUACAAAUAAAUAAAGCAUAUAUAACUAUUUUCUUUCUUUGAAAAUAACAAAACUUUGAGUCGAUUGGCAUUCUUCCAAAAGCAUUUUUUUUUUCAAUUUUAGCCAAAACAAUGAGUAGAAAAAAAGAACUUGGAAAGUCGUGCAGCUGACAAUAGGAUCUUUAAAAACCUUCUCAGAAAUUUUUGAUAAUUUUCACAUAAAUUGAGUAACUAAUUUAUAGUGAGUGUAGUUCACCCAAUCUUCCAGCUAACAUUGAUAGAAAAGCAGUGAAUUCAAUCAUCUUCAACCUCAAAUUCUCAAUCCAAGAGGGAUAUAAUAGAACAAGCACUACUGCAAUUUUAUCAUUAACAAUCAGGAUAACAAAAAAGACAUCCAAUCCAAAUGCAUCUCUGAUGGAUGAUGAGGAGAAACCAAUUUAUUUAUAACAAGUCCACCCUGUCAGCCUCUACAACCUCAGCUCUACUAAAAUUCACUCUUGGAUAAAAAUACUAGCCACCAUUACAGCAGUGAACAAUGUUCAGAAAAAGCAAAGAGGUGCAAAAUUAAAAGUUUAAGCGUCAUUAAGAGCAAGGACCCCAGGAAGUUGUUUGCCCUCAAGAAGCUCCAAGCUGGCACCACCACCAGUAGAGAUGUGGCUCAUCUUGUCAGCAAGCCCAGCUUUUUCCACAGCUGCAACAGAGUCACCUCCUCCAAUAAUUGUUGUCACUCCCUUCCCACUGAGUUCCGCAAGCUUCUUGGCAACCGCCUGCAUCGUAACAAGUAUUAAAAUCCAUUUUUAAGUAUGACCAAAUUUAAAGACCUGAUACCACAUCAUGACCACCUAAUUCAUGAAAGCAGUAAAUCACACACUUCACCGUACCUCAGUGCCGGCAGCAAACUUCUCAAACUCAAACACACCCAUUGGUCCAUUCCAGAUAAUGGUCUGGGUAGUGUCCAAAGACUCACUAAAGGUUUUGAUGGAGUCAGGUCCAAUAUCCAAGCCCAUCCAACCAUCUGGGAUCCCUGAUGCUGGCACCACCUGCAAAAACAUUACAAAAUUCAAACACCAUCAAAACAAAAUCCGCUGAAGCAGCAAUUCUCCAUAUCCACUUGGAAAUUAGGUACAUAUGUACACUCUGCUUCCGUACAGGAUAUUGCUGUAAGAUGUAUUGCGAUUUAGUACACUCAGCACACUCAUAGGAUAAGCAUAAUCAGCACAUACCUUGCUGUUAGCAUCAGCAGCAAACUUGUCAGCAACAACCACAUCAGUGGGGAGCAAGAGAGAGACUCCUUUUGCCUUGGCCUUCUCAAGGAGUGAUGUUGCUAGAUCAAGUUUGUCUUCUUCCACAAGUGAAGAUCCAACUGCAUAUCCUUGGGCCUUGUAGAAGGUAAACAUCAUUCCUCCACCAAGUAUGAGAAUAUCAACCUUGGCCAAGAGUGAUUCAAUCACUCCAAUCUUGGUUGAUACCUUAGAACCACCGACAAUUGCAGCAAAUGGCUUUUUGGGAUUUGCCACAGCUCCAACAAGAUAAUCGAGUUCCUAAAAAGAAAAAAGAACUUUGCAUGUCAAAGAAACCCAACAGAGUUCUCCACUAUUACAUGUUAUCUAAAUGCUUGAAAAAACGAGCAGACUGGUUAAGUGGUUUCUAUCAGACCAAUCCGCUGGAUCAUUAGACGCUUCAUUUUCAAACUUAGGAUAUUCAUAAUACCUUCUGCAUAAGAAAACCAGCAACAGAAGGCUUUAAGUACUUAGCCACUCCCUCUGUGGAAGCAUGGGCUCUGUGCGCAGUGCCAAAUGCAUCAUUAACAUAGAGAUCAGCGAGAGAAGCUAGCUUCUUUGCGAAUUCAGGAUCAUUCUUCUCUUCCUCCUUGUAGAACCUCACAUUCUCAAGCAGCAAUACACCGCCAUCUGGUAAUGCAGCCACCAUUUUCUCAACUUCUUCACCAAUACAAUCAUUCGCCAUUUUAACCUCGACUUCAAGGAGUUCAGAUAACCUUGGCACAAGAGGCUUCAAACUGUACUUGGGAGUGACACCCUUUGGGCGUCCCUGAAAAAGCAAUUUGAAAUAUAUCACGAAAUCUUCAACUAGAGAAAAUGUCGACAUAUAAAAGGAAUUUUCAUACGAUUUGCAUGUAUCCUAUUGCUAAAACUAAAACGAUUCAAAAUAAUCAUUAUUCUUUUAUAUUGAAAAACACAAACCUUACUCAUCCCGUGCCCCAGAUAUUCUUUAAGAGCUUAGACUAUCAUUUAAUGGAACAAGGAGAAGAAUCAUCCUACCUUAACAUUCGCCAAAGCAAUUAUAUAGUUUUAGAUGAACUAUUGCUGCCAAAAUUGUGCAAAUAAUAAACCAAGCUCACAAUCAGAACCAAGAGAAAACAAAGGCGAACCAAUUUACGAGUUAAAAACAGAUAGCAACUAUGAAAAUAUCAGCCACAGAACAUGCUUGUUAGAUAUAUCAAAAAUCAAUAAAUACUAUCUCCGUGCGGUGAUUUUAGAAUUUAAAAGAAAAUGAGAUCGAACAUAAAAGAUAUAAACAAAAAACUGAGAUGAUGCUGCCUCCAUCCCAUUCAGACAGAUCUAGCUCAGUCAAUCAAAAAUAAAUCUCAAAACCACAAAUACCCAUAAUAAAAAAACAGUAAUCAGAUCUUAAUGAACACCAGAUCAAAACAUGCAGAUAAAUCACAAGGCAAACAGAAACCCAAAAACCCAGUAUGGGAUGAAAAGAAAAUUUUUAUUAAAGAAAUCAUAUCUAAAGAAAAGGAAUAAAAGAAAGGUACCAAAUGACUAGAGAGGAUGACUUUAGAGCCAUGACCCAUCAAAUACUUGAUGGUGGGAACAGCGGCACGGAUCCUUGUGUCAUCAGUUAUGUUGAAGUUAUCAUCCAAUGGAACGUUCAGAUCGACUCUAACAAACACUUUCUUUCCCUUCAAAUCAGCUUCCUUCAAGUCCCCAACGCUCUUCUUUGUAGCCAUGGUAGUAGCACUUCUUCAACAACAACCAAACGUAUAAACAACGCUACACCCGAAAAAAGGAUUAGAGAACCGAUCUGCAAAAUCAAUAAGAAAAUGGGAGUAUUCAAAGUGAGAGUACUUACGAAGAUGAGAGAGGCGGAUAUAUCUAGACAGUCAAAAGAAACGAAGGAUCGAGAAGGUUUUAAUACAAGCGAAGCGCACGCAGGUUUUUUUCCUGGGUAAACUACACCCAUGGUCAUUCUAAAGUAGUCUCUCUACUAUUUUGGUCACUCCAAUUUUUUUUCAAUUUAGUCACUUUAAAUAAGAUAAUUAUGUAAAUUAGUCACUAUCAUUAAAAUUUCUAUUAGCCUUUAACGGAUUGCUGACAUGGCAUAUUAACUUAUAGAGUGACUAACAUGUGGCGCUUUUUUUACAUUUGACUAAAGCUUAGAGACCUCUUUAUAAAGUUUAGGAGGAAAAGGUUUUGGACUAAUUAUAGGGAGGACCCUAGACUUUAGUCAAAAGUUAAAAAAAUGCCACAUGCCACUCAAUAUGCUAAUGUGCCAUAUUAGUUAUCCGUUAAAAGAAAACAAAAAUUUUAAUGGCAGUAAUUAAUUUGCACAAUUAUCUUAUUUAGACUGACUAAAUUGAGAAAAAAAUUGAAGUGAUUAAAAUAGGUUAAACCUUAUUUUAGAGUGACCAUGGGAGUAGUUUAACUUUUUUUUUAUUUUUUUAUUUUAGCCCCAUGAUUCAAGUGAAGCGGCACAUAGGUUUUCCUUUUCUAUUUUAAGCUUAAGUUCAGGCUCCAAACUUUUUCAAAUAAUCAAUUUAGUCCCUAUAAAAUUGCGCAUUUAUGUAAUUUUGUAUCAAUUAAGGGUGCAUUUAUUCCACAGAAAAUGACUUACAAUUUUUUUUUUCAUUUUCCUAUGUAAAUUUCAUGAAAAAUAGCUAAAUCAAUGGAAAAUGAUUUAUGGAUUAGUGGGAAAUAAGUCAUUUUUCAUGUAAAUUGACUUACUCUUUAAAAAAAAUAUAAAUCAUUUCUUCCGAAAGAGUUUAUUUAUGAGUAAUUUUAUUUUUAUAUAAAGUUUAACUUCAAUAAAGCUUAUUAUCAUAUUAAUAAUAUUUUUUAUUUAAUUUUUAAAUUAUUAAAAAUAAAUUUUAUAACGUACAAUAUUAUUAAAUAUAUUUAAUAAUAUAAUAAAUUAUUAAUAUAUUUAAUAUAAUUUAUUAUUUUAAUAAUUUUUUUGAUAUUAUAAUUUUUUAAUAAUAAAUUUAACAAUAAUAAUUUUAAAUUUAAACAAUAUUCUUAAUAUAUUAUUAAAAAAUAUUUAUGUCAAUAUUUUUGUAACACCCCAAUACAUGACUCGAUUGCCAAGUCCGAGAUUCAAGGCGUCACAUUUGUUGCCAGAGCAACUACGAUCAAUUACAUUCAAUUUAUACUAUUAAAUGAUCAAUUUUCAACUCAAUCAUGCAUACAAUACAAUAUACAACAGUUUCUGGGUCUUAUACAAGCUUACGAAAGCUCUAGAACUAACCUGAGGUCGAAAUAUAACCAAAUUGUAAGAACUUCAAAUUAUUGGGUUGACACCGCGAUGUCAAGGGGUUAUUCGUCGUGACACAACAUACUGAGUAGGUAUCAUCGCAGUGACCCAAGCCCAACGUCACGUCGUGGCGUGGCAACCUAGUCUCGUCGCAACGAUAGACACUCAACGUUGCGACGUGACAUACUAACUUCAAAUGGUCGAGUUUUGGUAGCUAUUUACAUUCACGUAUAAAACUUCAAAUUCAUUUGCAAUACAAUUUAAAAAUUCAAAACGCAUAUCCAAUGAAUUUUAUCAUAGUUAAUAUACCAUUCAUACAUAUAGAGUUCAAAAAUACAAGUUGAUAUAUCACAUUUAUACCAUUCUUAGCAUUUACCAAAUCCACCUAUUCAUUCAUAUGUAUAGAUAACAAAAAUGGCUAUAAUUGAGCUUCUUUCAUUAUAUACCAAUUCUUGCCAUAAGGAUUCAAGCUAUUAAUCAUGUCAAGUUACCAUUUAAAAAUUAAAUGUUUUCAAUUUAAACCAAAACUGACUCUAUCUAGGUACAUGCCAUAUAACGAACCAAAAAGAGACUUUACAAACAUUGAUGAGUCAGGAAUCUCAGUUUGAAUGUUGGAUUCAAUGCUCGGGACCUCGAGAUGUACCUAAACUUGUGCACAGGAAAACAAACCGUACGCUGAAUGAUAAAGCUCAGUGGUAUGUUCAUGAUUCAAGUCAAAAUAAUAUGAGUUUCAAUCAAUUGUAUACAUUCAACUUCAUAUCCUAAUAACAAUCAAUUCAUAUACAAUUCAUGCUCAUUCUCAAUCACAUAUCAACAUAUAUCUAUAUAUGCCACAAUUUGCACAAAUUAUAUUAAAUAAUAUUUGCACUUCUACUCAAUUCUCAAUAUUUAUUUCAUUUUUUAUCUUACCAUAUUGGCCCUCAGGCUUGUUAAUCGAUCCGCAUGGUCUUUCACAUGCUAUCAAUCAAUAUUGUUUAUAAAUAUCUGUAAUUUAACUUUAUAACAUUUAAUCGUUUUCCAAAUAUUAAUCAACCAAAUUCACCAUUUAUAUUUCUUAUUAACACAACUCGGACUUGUACAGAUACAUGUAUCCCAACCAACACACCAAUUUUGCACUCAGUGCCUCAUCGGAAUGUCCGAAGUAUAUAAAUUGCAUCCAACACUCAUCUGUAUAACUGAAAUAAAAAUUGCAUCCAGCGCUAAUCAGUAUAACCGAAAUAAAACUUGUGCCCUACAUUCAUCGAAACGUUUGAAGGAAAAUGUGACUAGCACUCAUCGACAUAUAGCCAAAGUAACUCGUACUCAAUCUAUCCUAUGGCAUGCCAACUCUAUUUGACUCUGCUCGAACAGUUAAUAGAGUAACCAAUUAUCCAAUUUAUCAUAUAACCCAAUUUACAUUUUAUCACUUCAUUACAUAACAUAAUAUGAUUCAACCUAAUUCAAAGCCAAUUUCAUAUUUUCAUUAAGUUACACUAUUUUCAAUUCUGUUCAAUUUAGUCCUCUAUUUUGAUAACCAAUCUCAAUAAUAACAACUCAAUUAAAAUAAUCAUUUUCAAAUCACUUCAAUAUCAUACUAUGCAAAAAAAUAUAAAUAUGCAACAAUUAUAAUGAUUCGAAUCAUAGAAAUACAAACCGAAGACUCGAGUUAUUCGUCGUCGACUCUCGCCUUUCCUUUCCCUUUCGAUAACCUUGUGUUGUCUUUAGCUACGAAUAAUAAUCCAACAAUAAACAACAUCUCAUUCCAGAUCAAUUCACAUUCAAUUACAAAGUUACACAUAUUUUAUAAUUUAUUCAAUUUAGUCCCAAAAUCCUAGACGAGCAUAACUUUCGAUCUAAACCUUCGGAUUAAAAUCUGGUUUCACAUAUAUUCAUUAGGGACCUUUUAUUUUCUAUUCCUACCAAAAUUUAGUAACAAUUUUACAUUUUAUUCAAGUUGGUCCUAAAUGUAUGAAACUAAAAUAUAAGCUUUACAAUUUAGUCCUUUUGUUAAACUAAGCUUAAUUUCUAUCAAUUUCACACCUAGAUAUUCAAGAAAUUAACAAUGGAAAUUUUCUAUAACUUUAAUAGUUUCACAAAUUGGUACAUGGACUAGCUAAAUCAAGCUCUCAUGAACUCAAAUCUACAAAAAUUACAAGAAAAUGACCUAAAUGAGCUUAACAAAUUAUGGUCAAAUUUUUCAAGCUUGGAAGAUUUUCUUAAGCUCAACAAUGGUGGUCAGUUUAGGUGAAGAAGAAAGGUGAUAUUCUUUUCUAACUAAGAUUUAAUUUAGCUUAACUAAUUGCAUUUAACUAUUACUAAUCAUGCUUACUAACUUAACAUCACCAUCCACUAAGUCUUAUUUGAACAUGAUUUAAUUGCUAUUUUGGACCUUUAGUGAAUUGAAAUUUAAGUCCCCAAGCCAUUUACUAAUUAAAAAUCCAUAGCGAUUGGACUUUUACAAUUUAGUCCAUGGGCCUUAAUUAAGCAUAAUUUAUGCUAAAUCACUUAGCCAAUUUUCAAGUCAACAAUAUAUGAACUCUGUAAACAAUCCUAUUUAAUAUUAGGCUUGAUCCAAAACCAUAUUUUUUGAUACCACUGGAAAUCGGGUCAUUACAAUUUUAAUAAUAAAUAUAUAUUAUUAGGGUUUUGUAACCCGAAUCCCAUUUAAUCCGGCCUGAAAAGUUUGAGGUGCAACUCACUUGUUAAAUAAAUAAAAUAGAGAGGCAAAAUUGGGGAUUUAUGGGGGCGAAGGUCCGAGCCUUGUCGCACAAGUUGAAUUCGUAUAGGACUGUACUUCUUCUAUUAGACAUUGAUUGAAAAAAAAAGAUUGUUUAACCCUUAAAAACUGUGCAUAGUCGAAAACCUCUUGUAUUCUUGUUUUUCAACAUUAGUGAAUUUCUCCUCCUCUGCCCAUAGUUUUUCUCGAUAAGGUUUUCCACAUAAAAUCUGCGUGUUCUUAUUUUUCUUUCUUAUUGCUUUGUGAUCAUUCCUACUGUCAUUAUCGACGUAUAGUAUAACAUAUAUUGCAAUUUAUAAAUAAUUACACUUCCAAAGAAACUCCCAACCCCUAAGACAAAGAGUUACAUGAACAACAUCUACAUCUAAUUGAUUAAUUGACCUGUAAUGGAUCUUCCAUAGGAGCUGAGCAAGGCAAGAGCUAGAAGUCUCAUUGGAAAUGAAAGGAAUGAAUCAUUGGUUCAUUUCAACACAUACCUCAUGUAAUAAGUGUAUAGGUUGAAUUACGGGCACUUAGAGAUAUACUUCAACUCGCAAAUAGCAUUAAUGCUCAUAAGCUAGAAAAUGAACUUAAUAUCAUUGUUAUCAAAUUGAUUCACAAUAACGACAUCCCUAACAAAAACAAAAACAAAAGUUCUUGUUUGUGAUUGCAAGACACUUUUAAUUGAUCUUAAUUAAAAAGUAAUCAAUCACAAGUCAAAAAGAGGAAAAUAAAUAAAUAAAAUUUUGGUUUAGGUUCUUAGAAAUUUUUGAUAUUUUAUUAGGAAUUUUAGUAUUGAGAUAACAAACCAAAAUUUUAUUACAUACUAACAAAUUUUGUUAAACAUAUAAUAAAAAAAAACAUUUUUUCAUAUGGUGAUUUCUUAUUCAUACGAAUAAAUUUAAAAUAUAGAAACUAAAAUUAAUUUGAGAAUAACCCAAAAUUUUCAACUAAUUCUUUUUUAUUUUAUUAAAAAUUUUGAUAUGUUAAAACAUUGUAGGCUAAGUUUUAUAAAAUGGCUAGAAAUUUUAUUAAAAGCUUAUGGCGAACUUACGGCAUCAUAACCCCGCUGUAUUUGGGGCAGAUGCUAUGAGCAGGACCAUGUAUGGAUGCUUCACGAAUCACUUUCCGACCAAAAAAAAGACUGAUUCUCGAUGAUAGCGAUUGAAUGUGGGAUAUUCUAAUUCCAAAAAUAGAUUCCGUUUUGAGUCAACUCAAUUAUAAACGGACUUGCAUUUACAUUAAUGCAUGUAUUUUUUUCUUUUUCUUUUCCUCUUAAAAAUGGGUUUCAAAUCUUAUCAUCUGAUUAUUAAAAUUUAUAAUUCAUGUAUUUGCGUCACAUUCUUAUAUUUUUAUAUAUUAUGAUUAUGAUUAUGAUUAAAAAUUUUAUGUUAUAUAAAUUGCAUAUGAUAGAGAAAACGGACAAAGAACAAUAUAGAAGUGCCUUACCCACGUCGAUUACAUAGAUAAGUUUUUCCAGCUUUAUAAUAACAUGUUUUAGAUUCCUCUUGUAACGGAGUGAAUGGGUCAUGACCAUAGCUUCGGACCCAGGAAAGUCCCCGGGCCGCUAUCUGCAGAGAUGCAGGCUCGGAAAUGAGUAUUAAUCUUUGAGUGGAGGUGGUCUGUCGCAAAACAGGGCUGAGACAAGUGUGGAGCCGAUGACCUCUUCGCCAAAGCAAGUUAGCCGAAUCUCACAGUUAUUCACUUGGUUCUUCACAGGACUAACCGAACGGGGCUUAUGAUCUCGUAGUUUACCCUUUUUGGUUGUUUUUUUAACCAGAUGAUAGAAACAAUUCAUCCCAGCUUUAAUCCCUAUCCUGUGUUUAUGUUUUUGGAUUUUCUAAAAAGCUAGGUAAAGUAAACCUCGGAAACUCUCGAUUUUCCAAAUCCCAGACUUGUUAUUUUAUUUGCUAUGAAAAUUAACUCUACACUCUCUCAACAUUAGGCAAAAGCAUUGAUAGCCAUUUUGGCUAAAUAUGGUCAGACAUUGUAGGGUACAAAUUAAAUGAAAAUGAGGGUAUAUAUUGAUAUCUUUAACACAAAAUAAGAGUUUUAAGCAAUGUUGAAAUUUGAACUUGGGCGCUUUGAGAAGACAAAGAGAAUGCCAAUUAGUUCUAAAAAGUUUACUUGGGUGUUAGGUGUUAUAAGUUGAACCCACAUUAAUUGGCUUGCCAAGUCUUUUCAUAAAAUAAUAAUGCAAAAAUCUUUAUAUUUGAAUAAUACCCACAACUUGAAAUGAAUGGAUGCUUUGGUGGAAAAUGAUAUAUGGCUACAAUGAUGGCCACAAACACACAUUUCAGGGGUGGGCUUCCCAUGAUCUCUGCAGGACAUAUUACUUGACCAGAACAAAAAGUUGAUGCGUACAAGUAGUAAAGGCCUCUCAUUUUUAUGUGGCUUUCGUUAUUGUUGACAGAUUUCUGAUCAGAUUUUGGCCUUUCUAUCUCUUUCUACAGUUGAAAUAAUAACUGCCAUCUCAGGAACGUUAAGAGUCAAUUUGCACUUGAUGAUAUCAAACUUACGCAAGGUCUUUUAUGUUGCCUUUUGCUCUUCGAUUUCACUACUUUUAUUUGGAGUUCUUUUAUCUUCUAAUUGUAAAAAAAAAAAAAAAAAAAAACUAGUGCCAUGGAACCAAAGUACUGCUAAGCUUAAACCUGAUAAAGGCAUAGCAAAAUCUCUUGAUGGAAUAAUUUCUACACCCACAGGAGACCAGUUAAGUUAAACCACUGUUCAUUUGUAUUCACAUGCUUAGAGCAAUUUUUCAUGCUUACAAUAGUAAAUAUCUGGUUCUGGUAACAAUUUGAGCAUAAAUCUCUACUUGAUCGAAAGUUUGGGGUUAAUUUACACCAACAGCUCAAAAUAGAAGUAAUAAGAAGGUAUCAUAUCCCUGUCUUCUUCAAGUUUCACAGUUUGGCACUACAAUGAUAUCAAAUUCAAAUUGUGAGUUUGCAAGAGUUUGUAAGAUAGAAUUCUCAUUAGCUUCAUAGAGUUCAACAAGCAGAAGCACGAAUCAUGCUUUUAUGUGGUUUUGACUUUGUAAUACAAAGAAUAUAAAAUGCAAUGUAAAGGGAAGAAAAAAAGGGGCAUAUUACAAUACUUGCAGAAGAGAACCAUACAGGACGGCUACGAGAAAUAUCAUAAUGCAAGAAAAGGUUUGGAUAAAAAUAAAGCAAUUUAUUUAAGCAACACUCUUCUGACAACCAUUUAGGAAGGAGCAAGAAAGGAAGAGGCAGAAAAGGGCUCUACUAGUGAUUUAAUGUUGUACAUUUACAAAAAGAUCUCUUUCAUCAUAAAGCAUUUCAUUUGUGAAUAAAUCACUAAACAGUGAGGAUGUGGAAAAUUUGAUUCGAUCUUACACAGCAACCGGAACAGCCUCAUCCAGGGCAAUCACACCUGGAAGCUCCUUCCCUUCCAACAAUUCUAAACUGGCACCACCACCAGUUGAUAUGUGGCUCAUGACAUCAGCAACUCCGACCUUUUCUACAGCAGCAACAGAGUCUCCACCUCCAAUGAUUGUUGUCACUCCCUUGCCACUAAGUUCAGCUAGCUUCUUUGCAAUAGCCUACAAGCAGAAAGCAAUCUUAAUUCUCACUCACUUACACAACAAUUAAAAAUAAAAGCAGUCAUCUCAAAACCUUAUAAGCAUACAUCCUAACUUAUUAUUAGUUAAAGGUAGGCAACUUAAAAGCAUACAUCCUAACUUAUUAUUUCUAUAAUUUUAAUAAUUUAUAGAAGUAAUUGGAGGAAGGCUUGCUUCAGCUCGUUUGGACUGGAAAGCAAGUGGUUAUGAACUUAAAAGUAUAUCCAACUAGUAGAAAAGGGAUACCUUUAACUCUACGUAUGCAGGAAUAUCAUCAAGAGCUAAAGUGCACAGUUAAGAAAUUCAAGCAUACCUCAGUUCCAACUGCAAAUUUGUCGAAUUCAAACACUCCCAUUGGUCCAUUCCAGAUGAUGGUUUGGGUAGUAUCCAAAGCUUCAUUGAAUGUCUUAACAGAAUCAGGUCCAAUAUCCAAUCCCAUCCAGCCAUCAGGGAUAGCAGAUGCUGGCACAAUCUGCAAGUAGCAAAAUUUGUUUUUAUUCUUGCUAAGACAAGAGAAUAAAGGUUAACAAGAACAGUUUAUUUCCACUUAUAGCUCCGGUCACUGUGAUUACUAGCGAUUUCUUUUACAUAGAUUGCUCUGCAAACUUCAAGGGGGGUAGAAAGUAGAAACAAACCUUGCUGUUUGCGUCAGGGGCAAACUUGUCAGCGAUAACCACAUCAGUGGGUAACAAAAGAGACACUCCUUUUGCCUUGGCCUUUGCAAGAAGUGAUGUUGCAAGUUCAAGCUUAUCCUCCUCUACCAGGGAUGAACCGACUGAUAGGCCUUGUGCCUUGUAAAAUGUGAAAAUCAUACCACCACCAAGAAGGAGAAUGUCACAUUUCUCAAGGAGUGAUUCAAUGACUCCAAUCUUGGAAGAGACCUUUGAACCACCCACAAUGGCAGCAAAAGGCCUUUUGGGGAUUGAAACAGCACCAACAAGGUAGUCUAGUUCCUGUAACAAGAUAGGAAUACCAAAUGAAUAUAAGGGUAACCUAAAACGUUAAAAUGUAACAACAAUAAUAAUACAUAAACAAAAAAAAAGAAGCCAUAGUAGUUUAAAUGUAAUGUCAGAGUUAAACAAUGAUAACUUCACUUUAAAACAUGUCUAUUUGAACACAGAUAUUGAAAACAAACCAAGUUUCUUCAAGAACUUAGAAUGCCAUAUCCUACCUUCUGUAAAAGGAAACCAGCAACUGAUGGCUUCAAGAAUUUUGUAACGCCCUCUGUUGAAGCAUGUGCUCGAUGUGCAGUCCCAAAUGCAUCAUUGACAAAGAGAUCAGCUAAGGAAGCAAGCUUCUUUGCAAAUUCAGGUUCAUUCUUUUCCUCUUCCUUGUAAAAUCUAACAUUUUCAAGAAGAAGAACGCCACCUUCAGGAAGUGCAGCAACUAACUUUUCUACUUCUGGACCAAUGCAAUCAUCAGCCUUGACAACCUGCUUAGUUAAUGAGUGUUACUGUCAUACAAUGGAUGAACAUCUUAUAACUGGAAAAUUUUCAGCUUUCGUUAAUUACCUGAAUGCCAAGUAAUUCAGAAAGCCUGGGUACAAGAGGAGCCAAGCUGAAUUUUGGAGUAACACCCUUUGGCCGCCCCUGAAAAUUCAAUGAACCAUUGCUUCAAUUCUUACAGCUCAAGCCCAAAUGGUUAAGAACCCACUAUUCUAUGUAGAAGGCUUAAAUGGCUACGUAUUUAUCUGAAAAAUUAAAAUACAUCCAUUUACAGUAUUAUGGUAUACACACAUUAUCAAACACAAUUUAUCUGCUCAUCGACAUAUGUACUUGGGACCAUUGAACUUGUAUUUGGUUAAAUCAAACCUAGAAACUUUUAUUUCCAUCAAACUACAUUAUUGAGCUUUGACAAUUGAUUCAAUAAGUCAAUUAACCAUUAAAGGCCAUAAAUCUCAAGAUACAAGAACUAAGUAGAAUCAAGAGAAAUGAACUCACCAAGUGGCUAGAGAGAAUGACUUUAGCUCCAUUCUGAAUCAAAUGCUUGAUGGUGGGAAUAGCAGCACGAAUCCUGGUGUCAUCAGUGAUGUUCUGGCUAUCAUCCAAUGGAACAUUCAAGUCAGCCCUCACAAACACUUUCUUCCCUUUCAAAUCAGCGGCAGUCAAGUCCCCAACACUCUUCUUGGCCAUUGAAACAACCCCUCUUGACCCUUUUCCCUUGAAAGAUCGAACUUUGGAGGAGACAUGGAGGGAAAGCAGAGAGUCCCCAGAAGCAGCGGAGGAGAAGCCUAGGCUGUGGAUGAGAGGAGAGGACUUGAGGUGGCGGCGCGUGGAAGGAAGGCGGAUGAGGGAUGCAGAAGAGCGGGAGGCGGAGGAAGAGGUGGUGGAGGCGGUGGUUUUGAGGAGGGAAAGAGUGGUGGAAGUGGUGGCAGAAGCCAUUUGGAGGCGAAGAGAGAAAGAGAGUGGAGAGGCUGAGUUGUAAGUUGUGAAGGCAAAGAGACAAGGAAACUGUGAGAGAGGGGGGGAAAAGGAGUUUAUGUAACGGUGGAUGGGAAUGGCGAAGAUGUGGACGUGAAGCGCAAAGGGAGAAAUGAUUGGAUGUGAGGAGGAGGAAAUCAGAUACCUCUUGUUUUUCUUAUCGUUGAGGAGAGGCUGAAGAUGUUCGAUG
RNAcentral lists this long non-coding RNA (22835 nucleotides) under Gossypium raimondii (Peruvian cotton). Its description in RNAcentral is "long non-coding RNA (GRAI_LNC001083)". The stretch from base 720 to 792 matches the Rfam family "tRNA". The record is from RNAcentral. Lineage: Eukaryota; Viridiplantae; Streptophyta; Magnoliopsida; Malvales; Malvaceae.